UUAAGCGACUAAGCGUACACGGUGGAUGCCUAGGCAAUCAGAGGCGAUGAAGGACGUGCUAAUCUGCGAAAAGCGUCGGUAAGGUGAUAUGAACCGUUAUAACCGACGAUGUCCGAAUGGGGAAACCCAGUGCAAUUCGUUGCACUAUCGUUUGAUGAAUCCAUAGUCAAACGAGGCGAACCGGGGGAACUGAAACAUCUCAGUACCCCGAGGAAAAGAAAUCAACCGAGAUUCCCCUAGUAGCGGCGAGCGAACGGGGAGCAGCCCAGAGUCUUAAUCAGCAUCAGCAUCAGGAGAACGGUCUGGAAAGGCCGGCAAUAAAGGGUGAUAGCCCCGUAUCCGAAGGUGCUGGUGUUGUGAACUCGAUGAGUAGGGCGGGACACGUGUUAUCCUGUCUGAAUAUGGGGGGACCAUCCUCCAAGGCUAAAUACUCCUGAUUGACCGAUAGUGAACCAGUACCGUGAGGGAAAGGCGAAAAGAACCCCGGCGAGGGGAGUGAAAUAGAACCUGAAACCGUGUACGUACAAGCAGUGGGAGCCUUGAUUUAUCAGGGUGACUGCGUACCUUUUGUAUAAUGGGUCAGCGACUUAUAUUCUGUAGCAAGGUUAACCGUAUAGGGGAGCCGUAGGGAAACCGAGUCUUAACUGGGCGAAUGAGUUGCAGGGUAUAGACCCGAAACCCGGUGAUCUAGCCAUGGGCAGGUUGAAGGUUGGGUAACACUAACUGGAGGACCGAACCGACUAAUGUUGAAAAAUUAGCGGAUGACUUGUGGCUGGGGGUGAAAGGCCAAUCAAACCGGGAGAUAGCUGGUUCUCCCCGAAAGCUAUUUAGGUAGCGCCUCGUGAACUCAUCUUCGGGGGUAGAGCACUGUUUCGGCUAGGGGGUCAUCCCGACUUACCAACCCGAUGCAAACUACGAAUACCGAAGAAUGUUAUCACGGGAGACACACGGCGGGUGCUAACGUUCGUCGUGAAGAGGGAAACAACCCAGACCGCCAGCUAAGGUCCCAAAGUCAUGGUUAAGUGGGAAACGAAGUGGGAAGGCUCAGACAGCCAGGAUGUUGGCUUAGAAGCAGCCAUCAUUUAAAGAAAGCGUAAUAGCUCACUGGUCGAGUCGGCCUGCGCGGAAGAUGUAACGGGGCUAAACCAUGCACCGAAGCUGCGGCAGCGACAUGUAAAUGUUGUUGGGUAGGGGAGCGUUCUGUAAGCCUGUGAAGGUGUGCUGCGAGGCAUGCUGGAGGUAUCAGAAGUGCGAAUGCUGACAUAAGUAACGAUAAUGCGGGUGAAAAACCCGCACGCCGGAAGACCAAGGGUUCCUGUCCAACGUUAAUCGGGGCAGGGUGAGUCGACCCCUAAGGCGAGGCAGAAAUGCGUAGUCGAUGGGAAACAGGUUAAUAUUCCUGUACUGGUGAUAAUUGCGAUGGGGGGACGGAGAAGGCUAGGCUGGCCGGGCGACGGUUGUCCCGGUUUAAGGAUGUAGGUGGGUGAAUUAGGCAAAUCCGGUUCGCUAUACACUGAGGUCUGAUGACGAGUCACUACGGUGGCGAAGUAGCUCAUGCCCCGCUUCCAGGAAAAGCCUCUAAGCUCUAGAUUAUCAUUAAUCGUACCCCAAACCGACACAGGUGGUCAGGUAGAGAAUACUCAGGCGCUUGAGAGAACUCGGGUGAAGGAACUAGGCAAAAUGGUGCCGUAACUUCGGGAGAAGGCACGCUGGCACUAGGUGAAGUCCCUUGCGGAUGGAGCUGAAGCCAGUCGCAGAUACCAGCUGGCUGCAACUGUUUAUUAAAAACACAGCACUGUGCAAACACGAAAGUGGACGUAUACGGUGUGACGCCUGCCCGGUGCUGGAAGGUUAAUUGAUGGGGUUAUCCGUAAGGAGAAGCUCUUGAUCGAAGCCCCAGUAAACGGCGGCCGUAACUAUAACGGUCCUAAGGUAGCGAAAUUCCUUGUCGGGUAAGUUCCGACCUGCACGAAUGGCGUAAUGAUGGCCAGGCUGUCUCCACCCGAGACUCAGUGAAAUUGAACUCGCUGUGAAGAUGCAGUGUACCCGCGGCAAGACGGAAAGACCCCGUGAACCUUUACUAUAGCUUGACACUGAACAUUGAGCCUUGAUGUGUAGGAUAGGUGGGAGGCUUUGAAGUGUGGACGCCAGUCUGCAUGGAGCCAACCUUGAAAUACCACCCUUUAAUGUUUGAUGUUCUAACGUUGCCCCAUAAUCUGGGGUGCGGACAGUGUCUGGUGGGUAGUUUGACUGGGGCGGUCUCCUCCCAAAGCGUAACGGAGGAGCACGAAGGUUGGCUAAGCAUGGUCGGACAUCAUGCGGUUAGUGCAAAGGCAUAAGCCAGCUUGACUGCGAGAGUGACGGCUCGAGCAGGUACGAAAGUAGGUCUUAGUGAUCCGGUGGUUCUGAAUGGAAGGGCCAUCGCUCAACGGAUAAAAGGUACUCCGGGGAUAACAGGCUGAUACCGCCCAAGAGUUCAUAUCGACGGCGGUGUUUGGCACCUCGAUGUCGGCUCAUCACAUCCUGGGGCUGAAGUAGGUCCCAAGGGUAUGGCUGUUCGCCAUUUAAAGUGGUACGCGAGCUGGGUUUAGAACGUCGUGAGACAGUUCGGUCCCUAUCUGCCGUGGGCGUUGGAAGAUUGAAAGGGGCUGCUCCUAGUACGAGAGGACCGGAGUGGACGCACCGCUGGUGUUCGGGUUGUCAUGCCAAUGGCACUGCCCGGUAGCUAAGUGCGGAAGAGAUAACCGCUGAAAGCAUCUAAGCGGGAAACUUGCCUUGAGAUGAGUCUUCCCUGACUCUUUAAGGGUCCUAAAGGAACGUUUAAGACGAAGACGUUGAUAGGCUGGGUGUGUAAGCGUAGCGAUACGUUGAGCUAACCAGUACUAAUGAACCGUGAGGCUUAACCUG
Molecule: ribosomal RNA, 2907 nt
Filed under: Providencia stuartii
Lineage: Bacteria; Pseudomonadati; Pseudomonadota; Gammaproteobacteria; Enterobacterales; Morganellaceae
Description: bacterial LSU rRNA
Rfam family: Bacterial large subunit ribosomal RNA
Source: RNAcentral